RNAcentral lists this ribosomal RNA (253 nucleotides) under uncultured bacterium. RNAcentral's name for it is "partial 16S ribosomal RNA". It matches the Rfam family "Bacterial small subunit ribosomal RNA", at positions 524 to 776 of the family's 1533-position model. The record is from RNAcentral.
UACGUAGGGUGCAAGCGUUAUCCGGAAUUAUUGGGCGUAAAGAGCGAGCAGGCGGUUCGACAAGUCAGAUGUAAAAUAUCCCGGCUUAACCGGGAGGGGCCAUUUGAAACUGUCGGACUAGAGUGGAGCAGAGGAUAGUGGAAUUCCCGGUGUAGUGGUGAAAUGCGUAGAUAUCGGGAGGAACACCAGUGGCGAAGGCGACUAUCUGGGCUUUAACUGACGCUGAGGCGCGAAGGCCGGGGGAGCAAACAGG